Molecule: ribosomal RNA, 500 nt
Filed under: uncultured bacterium
Lineage: Bacteria
Description: partial 16S ribosomal RNA
Rfam family: Bacterial small subunit ribosomal RNA
Source: RNAcentral
AUUGAACGCUGGCGGAAUGCUUUACACAUGCAAGUCGAACGGCAGCACGGACUUCGGUCUGGUGGCGAGUGGCGAACGGGUGAGUAAUGUAUCGGAACGUGCCCAGUCGUGGGGGAUAACGUAGUGAAAAUUACGCUAAUACCGCAUACGAUCUAUGGAUGAAAGCGGGGGAUCGCAAGACCUCGCGCGAUUGGAGCGGCCGAUUUCAGAUUAGGUAGUUGGUGGGGUAAAGGCCCACCAAGCCAACUAUCUGUAGCUGGUCUGAGAGGACGACCAGCCAAACGGGAACUGAGAGUCGGUCCAGACUCCUACGGGAGGCAGCAGUGGGGAAUUUGGGACAAUGGGCGAAAGACUGAUCCAGCCAUUCCGCGUGCAGGAUGAAGGCCCUCGGGUUGUAAACUGCUUUUGUACAGAACGAAAAGGUUUCUACUAAUACUAGGAGCUCAUGACGGUACUGUAAGAAUAAGCACCGGCUAACUACGUGCCAGCCGCCGCAGUAA